UGGGGAAUAUUGCACAAUGGGCGCAAGCCUGAUGCAGCCAUGCCGCGUGUAUGAAGAAGGCCUUCGGGUUGUAAAGUACUUUCAGUCGGGAGGAAGGUGGUAAGGUUAAUAACCUUGGCAAUUGACGUUACCGACAGAAGAAGCACCGGCUAACUCCGUGCCAGCAGCCGCGGUAAUACGGAGGGUGCAAGCGUUAAUCGGAAUUACUGGGCGUAAAGCGUACGCAGGCGGUUGAUUGAGUCAGAUGUGAAAUACCCGGGCUGAACCCGGGAAUUGCAUCUGAUACUGGUAAGCUAGAGUCGUGUAGAGGGGGGUAGAAUUCCAUGUGUAGCGGUGAAAUGCGUAGAGAUGUGGAGGAAUACCGGUGGCGAAGGCGGCCCCCUGGAUAAGGACUGACGCUCCGGUGCGAAAGCGUGGGGAGCAAACAGG
RNAcentral lists this ribosomal RNA (429 nucleotides) under Chloroflexota bacterium. RNAcentral's name for it is "Chloroflexi bacterium partial 16S ribosomal RNA". It matches the Rfam family "Bacterial small subunit ribosomal RNA", at positions 355 to 776 of the family's 1533-position model. The record is from RNAcentral. Lineage: Bacteria; Bacillati; Chloroflexota.